CCUACGGGUGGCAGCAGUGGGGAAUAUUGCGCAAUGGGCGAAAGCCUGACGCAGCGACGCCGCGUGAGGGAUGAAGGUCUUCGGAUCGUAAACCUCUGUCAGCAGGGAAGAACGGUCACUGUGCUAAUCAGCAGUGAAUUGACGGUACCUGCAAAGGAAGCACCGGCUAACUCCGUGCCAGCAGCCGCGGUAAUACGUAGGGUGCGAGCGUUAAUCGGAAUUACUGGGCGUAAAGCGCUCGUAGGCGGUAUGUCAAGUCAAGGGUGAAAUCCCCGCGCUCAACGUGGGAACUGCCUUUGAAACUGGCAAACUGGAGUGUGGGAGAGGAGAGUGGAAUUCCAGGUGUAGGAGUGAAAGCCGUAGAUAUCUGGAGGAACAUCAGUGGCGAAGGCGACUAUCUGGCACAUAACUGACGCUGAGGAGCGAAAGCGUGGGUAGCAAACAGGAUUAGAUACCCGAGUAGUC
This 465-nucleotide ribosomal RNA is filed under the name uncultured bacterium. RNAcentral's name for it is "partial 16S ribosomal RNA". It matches the Rfam family "Bacterial small subunit ribosomal RNA", at positions 338 to 795 of the family's 1533-position model. The record is from RNAcentral.